This 258-nucleotide ribosomal RNA is filed under the name uncultured bacterium. Its description in RNAcentral is "partial 16S ribosomal RNA". It matches the Rfam family "Bacterial small subunit ribosomal RNA", at positions 793 to 1055 of the family's 1533-position model. The record is from RNAcentral.
GUCCACGCCGUAAACGAUGAGUGCUAAAUGUCAUAGAUUCGUCUUUGGUGUUUUAGCUAACGCGUUAAGCACUCCGCCUGAGGACUACGAUCGCAAGAUUAAAACUCAAAGGAAUUGACGGGGGCCUACACAAGCGGUGGAGCAUCUGGUUUAAUUCGAUUCUAACCGUAAACCUUACCAGUUCUUGACAUUGCACUUUUGAGACUUGGAAACAAGCUCUUGGUUCGUCCGGGUGCAACAGGGAUGCAUGGCUGUCGU